This 211-nucleotide unclassified non-coding RNA is filed under the name Hevea brasiliensis (rubber tree). The record is from RNAcentral. Lineage: Eukaryota; Viridiplantae; Streptophyta; Magnoliopsida; Malpighiales; Euphorbiaceae.
UUAACAGUGCCUUGAGUUCCAGUAAUGUUUACAAUACUAGACCUUUGUAAAAGCGAUGCGAUUUGCUUGCAGGCUAGUGAUAUGCUCGAAAGAACUAUGGCUAAUUCUGCAUCUAUGUUGCCUGCUUGUUCUUGCUGCAACAACCAUGUUGUCAAGUUUACCAUUUCAUAUCUGUUUUUCGGUUUCUUGAUCUGUGCUGGAGCUGUUUUUG